GAUGAACGCUGGCGGCGUGCCUAAUACAUGCAAGUCGAGCGAACAGACGAGGAGCUUGCUCCUCUGACGUUAGCGGCGGACGGGUGAGUAACACGUGGAUAACCUACCUAUAAGACUGGGAUAACUUCGGGAAACCGGAGCUAAUACCGGAUAAUAUAUUAAACCGCAUGGUUAAUUAGUGAAAACCGGUUUUGCUGUCACUUAUAGAUGGAUCCGCGCCGCAUUAGCUAGUUGGUAAGGUAACGGCUUACCAAGGCAACGAUGCGUAGCCGACCUGAGAGGGUGAUCGGCCACACUGGAACUGAGACACGGUCCAGACUCCUACGGGAGGCAGCAGUAGGGAAUCUUCCGCAAUGGGCGAAAGCCUGACGGAGCAACGCCGCGUGAGUGAUGAAGGUCUUCGGAUCGUAAAACUCUGUUAUUAGGGAAGAACAAAUGUGUAAGUAACUAUGCACGUCUUGACGGUACCUAAUCAGAAAGCCACGGCUAACUACGUG
Molecule: ribosomal RNA, 497 nt
Filed under: uncultured bacterium
Lineage: Bacteria
Description: partial 16S ribosomal RNA
Rfam family: Bacterial small subunit ribosomal RNA
Source: RNAcentral